AACUAAGAUUCUCAGCAUAAAAUUAAAGAUACAAAAAAUAAUUUAAAGCUUGCUACAGCAACGGAGUCUAACCUAUUCUGGCGCUCUCCUCCAUGAGACAAGCCGUUACACAGACUUAGACAGU
Small nucleolar RNA from Phyllostomus hastatus (greater spear-nosed bat), 124 nucleotides. RefSeq annotates it as small nucleolar RNA SNORA28. NCBI's taxonomy places the organism in Eukaryota, Metazoa, Chordata, Mammalia, Chiroptera, Phyllostomidae. The transcript has a single exon. The record is from RefSeq and is a predicted model, not a curated record.